CCUACGGGUGGCAGCAGUCGAGAAUCAUUCACAAUGGGGGAAACCCUGAUGGUGCGACGCCGCGUGGGGGAAUGAAGGUCUUCGGAUUGUAAACCCCUGUCAUGUGGGAGCAAAUUAAAAAGAUAGUACCACAAGAGGAAGAGACGGCUAAAUCUGUGCCAGCAGCCGCGGUAAUACAGAGGUCUCAAGCGUUGUUCGGAAGCACUGGGCGUAAAGCGUGCGUAGGCUGUUUCGUAAGUCGUGUGUGAAAGGCGCGGGCUCAACCCGCGGACGGCACGUGAUACUGCGAGACUAGAGUAAGGGAGGGGGAACCGGAAUUCUCGGUGUAGCAGUGAAAUGCGUAGAUAUCGAGAGGAACACUCGUGGCGAAGGCGGGUUCCUGGACAUUAACUGACGCUGAGGCACGAAGGCCAGGGGAGCGAAAGGGAUUAGAUACCCCGGUAGUC
This 446-nucleotide ribosomal RNA is filed under the name uncultured bacterium. Its description in RNAcentral is "partial 16S ribosomal RNA". It matches the Rfam family "Bacterial small subunit ribosomal RNA", at positions 338 to 795 of the family's 1533-position model. The record is from RNAcentral.